RNAcentral lists this ribosomal RNA (478 nucleotides) under uncultured bacterium. RNAcentral's name for it is "partial 16S ribosomal RNA". It matches the Rfam family "Bacterial small subunit ribosomal RNA", at positions 28 to 523 of the family's 1533-position model. The record is from RNAcentral.
GACGAACGUUGGCGGCGUGCUUAACACAUGCAAGUCGAACGGUAAGGCCCUUCGGGGUACACGAGUGGCGAACGGGUGAGUAACACGUGGGUGAUCUGCCCUGCACUUCGGGAUAAGCCUGGGAAACUGGGUCUAAUACCGGAUAGGACCACUGCCUGCAUGGGUGGUGGUGGAAAGCUUUUGCGGUGUGGGAUGGGCCCGCGGCCUAUCAGCUUGUUGGUGGGGUGAUGGCAUACCAAGGCGACGACGGGUAGCCGGCCUGAGAGGGUGACCGGCCACACUGGGACUGAGAUACGGCCCAGACUGCUACGGGAGGCAGCAGUGGGGAAUAUUGCACAAUGGGCGCAAGCCUGAUGCAGCGACGCCGCGUGAGGGAUGACGGCCUUCGGGUUGUAAACCUCUUUCAGCACCGACGAAGCGCAAGUGACGGUAGGUGCAGAAGAAGGACCGGCCAACUACGUGCCAGCCGCCGCCGUAA